CUAGGGCCUGGCCUGCCUGGCUGCCUCCAUCACAGCCCUCCUGCCCCACCAGGGAGAAAGCCCAGGAGCUGUCGAACUGGAUCCACCAGCUGGAGUCUGAGAAGUUCGACCUGAUGGCGAAGCUGAAACAGCAGAAGUAUGAGAUCAACGUGCUGUACAACCGCAUCAGCCAUGCCCAGAAGUUCCGGAAGGGGGCAGGGAAGGGCCGCGUUGGAGGCCGCUGGAAGUGAGGACGCCGCCCCGGACAGUGGCCUGCUCUUACCCACCCGGGAAGCCUGGGAGUGUUAGUCCCUUCGGUAGCUUGAAAUAAACGCUUCCCUCAGAC
Molecule: long non-coding RNA, 325 nt
Filed under: Theropithecus gelada (gelada)
Lineage: Eukaryota; Metazoa; Chordata; Mammalia; Primates; Cercopithecidae
Description: lncRNA (ENSTGEG00000012096.1)
Source: RNAcentral